RNAcentral lists this long non-coding RNA (942 nucleotides) under Lathyrus oleraceus (garden pea). RNAcentral's name for it is "Pisum sativum (pea) long non-coding RNA (PSAT_LNC032638)". Lineage: Eukaryota; Viridiplantae; Streptophyta; Magnoliopsida; Fabales; Fabaceae. The record is from RNAcentral.
UUUAAUUCAAAUAUCAAAUUCAUUCAUACAAAACAACAAUUUCCAUUCAUACCAAAUAUCAUAUUCAUUACAAAUCAUAAGAAUGUCCAUACAUACAAAUAAAUUACAAAAAAUGGCACUUUGACCAAAGGUUGACUUUGGUCAACUUUGACCAAAGUCAACUCACAUAUUCUCUAAGCCUAAUCAUAUUCUCUUCAUGUUAAUUCCUAAUUUGUCCCAUCUUCCAUUCCAACUUCAUGACCAAGGUUGCUUCAUGAACAAGCAAACUUGCCUAGCAUCCUACAAGAACCAACCAAGUCAUGCCAAACAUGAACCAAUGCAAGUCAUAAAGCAUUACACUUGCAAAAAGACCUUGUUGAACCUGCUUCAAGCACUACAGCACAUCAUGCCAUUCACAUAACCUGUUAUCAAACACCAACAAAACAGUAGUGGCAAACCAAAGACAUAACAAUAAUCCAAAGAACCUCACCAAUUGUGCAAAUUCUGCAACACAUUGCCUAUAGAAACAUGAUGUAACCAACCCCUGAACCAUGUCCAAACACACAUGCCUAGCAUCAUAAAUGCAGUAGCCAAACACAAACUCUGCAGCUAUAUUGAACAUGGAACAUCAAUAAUGUCAAAGCAAGUCAGUGGCAUUACUAGACACGCACACAAAGUCAGUUUAGUAGCAGCUGAAUAAAGCUAAUUAAUACACAACACAGAGCUGCAUAAAUUCAAGGCAGAUCAUCUAAGCUGCAAUGUCAAUGUACAUACGGAAGCUAGCUGCCAAUCAUUCAUAACUUUGCUGCAUGAUGAGCCAAGCAUCUCACCUUAUAGGACCUUCUAUGCAAUAAGUACCAAACCAAUGUCAUGUUACCAACAUACAACUUUAAUUAAUCCUGCAAUGAGCAGUCCAACCUGCUACAGGACAUUGCAACCAACCUUGCCAAGACUAAGUUAUGC